This 497-nucleotide ribosomal RNA is filed under the name uncultured bacterium. RNAcentral's name for it is "partial 16S ribosomal RNA". It matches the Rfam family "Bacterial small subunit ribosomal RNA", at positions 28 to 507 of the family's 1533-position model. The record is from RNAcentral.
GAUGAACGCUGGCGGCGUGCCUAAUACAUGCAAGUCGAGCGAACAGACGAGGAGCUUGCUCCUCUGACGUUAGCGGCGGACGGGUGAGUAACACGUGGAUAACCUACCUAUAAGACUGGGAUAACUUCGGGAAACCUGAGCUAAUACCGGAUAAUAUAUUGAACCGCAUGGUUCAAUAGUGAAAGACGGUUUUGCUGUCACUUAUAGAUGGAUCCGCGCCGCAUUAGCUAGUUGGUAAGGUAACGGCUUACCAAGGCAACGAUGCGUAGCCGACCUGAGAGGGUGAUCAGCCACACUGGAACUGAGACACGGUCCAGACUCCUACGGGAGGCAGCAGUAGGGAAUCUUCCGCAAUGGGCGAAAGCCUGACGGAGCAACGCCGCGUGAGUGAUGAAGGUCUUCGGAUCGUAAAACUCUGUUAUUAGGGAAGAACAAAUGUGUAAGUAACUAUGCACGUCUUGACGGUACCUAAUCAGAAAGCCACGGCUAACUACGUG